CCGCGUCCGAGUCCGUUCCUGUCUCUUUCACCCCAAAUCCGCACGCAGUCCGCCACGGCAACAGCGCGCUUCCUGUCCUGCAUCGGGAGCCGGAGGACCUCGCCUACUCCCUCCCUCCAUCGGCGCCCGGAACAGCGCUGCCGCCACGCCGGUGCUGCCCAACGUGUACAGCGCGCUGCUCUGCUUUGACCGCCUCUCCGAGCUCUCCUCUGCCAUUGACGAGUUCUCAAGUGGGUAUCAACAAGACUGCGCGCGUGCCGGAGAACGAGGACGACUGAAAUCACAUAGAGGAAACUCGAAUACAAUAGUGGCUCUUGCUGGGAACAAGGCUGAUUUGUUAGAUACGAGGCAGGUGUCAGCAGAUGUAUGUUAAUGUGCUUCUCAAGUUCUAUUUUUAACACAUUCAUGAGCUACCACAUUUGUUU
Long non-coding RNA from Zea mays, 425 nucleotides. RefSeq lists it as uncharacterized. The record is from RefSeq and is a predicted model, not a curated record. The transcript has 3 exons. NCBI's taxonomy places the organism in Eukaryota, Viridiplantae, Streptophyta, Magnoliopsida, Poales, Poaceae.